GAGUUUGAUCUUGGCUCAGAUUGAACGCUGGCGGCAUGCCUUACACAUGCAAGUCGAACGGCAGCACGGGAGCUUGCUCCUGGUGGCGAGUGGCGAACGGGUGAGUAAUGCAUCGGAACGUAUCCUGGAGUGGGGAUAACGUAGCGAAAGUUACGCUAAUACCGCAUAUUCUGUGAGCAGGAAAGCGGGGGACCUUCGGGCCUCGCGCUCUUGGAGCGGCCGAUGUCGGAUUAGCUAGUUGGUGAGGUAAAGGCUCACCAAGGCGACGAUCCGUAGCAGGUCUGAGAGGAUGAUCUGCCACACUGGAACUGAGACACGGUCCAGACUCCUACGGGAGGCAGCAGUGGGAAUUUUGGACAAUGGGGCAACCCUGAUCCAGCCAUGCCGCGUGAGUGAAGAAGGCCUCGGUUC
RNAcentral lists this ribosomal RNA (411 nucleotides) under bacterium enrichment culture clone ALO1_GLFRUDD03GY40A. RNAcentral's name for it is "bacterial SSU rRNA". It matches the Rfam family "Bacterial small subunit ribosomal RNA", at positions 9 to 424 of the family's 1533-position model. The record is from RNAcentral.